RNAcentral lists this ribosomal RNA (460 nucleotides) under uncultured bacterium. Its description in RNAcentral is "partial 16S ribosomal RNA". It matches the Rfam family "Bacterial small subunit ribosomal RNA", at positions 338 to 795 of the family's 1533-position model. The record is from RNAcentral.
CCUACGGGUGGCAGCAGUGAGGAAUAUUGGUCAAUGGGCGCGAGCCUGAACCAGCCAAGUAGCGUGAAGGAUGACUGCCCUAUGGGUUGUAAACUUCUUUUAUAUGGGAAUAAAGUGCAGUAUGUAUACUGCUUUGCAUGUACCUUCUGAAUCAGGAUCGGCUAACUCCGUGCCAGCAGCCGCGGUAAUACGGAGGAUCCGAGCGUUAUCCGGAUUUCUUGGGUUUAAAGGGAGCCUAGGCGGGUUGUUAAGUCAGUUGUUAAAGUUUGCGGCUCAACCGUACAAUUGCAGUUGAGACUGGCGUUCUUGAGUGAGCGAGAAGUAUGCGGAAUGCGUGGUGUAGCGGUGAAAUGCAUAGAUAUCACGCAGAACUCCGAUUGCGAAGGCAGCAUACCGGCGCCCAACUGACGCUGAAGCACGAAAGCGUGGGUAUCGAACAGGAUUAGAUACCCUUGUAGUC